AUGGCCUGCGUCGGAGCCACGGCGGCCGUGUGCUACGGGGCGUGGAGGUACUACAGGUACAAGACCUGCCUGCGCACCUACGGCCGGGACCUGACGGCCUUGGCCAGCAAGCAGCGCGACCCGGUGGUGCCCGUGCACCGCGAUGACAAGGUCGACCCGGUGCCAGUGGUGCGCCGCGAUGACGAACGAAAUUCGGGCCACAACGCCGCCUACUACCGGGACAUGAGUCACAAGGCGGUCACGGCCGGCGAGGCUGACCCGGUGGUCGGCCGCGACGACGAGAUCGACCGCGUCGUCCGCAUCCUCUGCCGCCGGACCAAGAACUGCGCCGCGCUUGUCGGCGCCGCGGGGGUGGGCAAGACGGCCGUCGCCGAGGGCCUCGCGCAGCGCAUCGCCGAGGGGAAGGUGCCCAAGCAGCUCGCCGGCGCGCGCCUGGUGGAGCUCGACCUCGCGGCCAUGGUGGCAGGGACCAGGUGGCGCGGCAUGUUCGAGGAGCGCAUGAAGAACGUGAUCAGCUCCGCCGAGGCGUCCAACGGCAAGAUCAUCCUCUUCAUCGACGAGAUGCACACGCUCGUCGGCGCCGGCGACUACCAGCGCCGAAACGACGCCGCCAACAUGCUAAAGCCGGCGUUGGCCCGUGGCCGCAUCCGUUGCGUCGGCGCCACCACGUUCGACGAGUACCGGAAGCACAUCGAGAAGGACCCCGCCCUGGAGCGGCGAUUCCAGAAGGUGCACGUCGACGAGCCGAGCGAGCAGGCCACCAUUGGCAUCCUCCGUGGUCUAAAGCAGCGCUACGAAGAGCACCAUGGUCUGCAAAUUCAGGAUGCUGCAAUUGUUGCCGCUGCACAGCUCGCUGGCCGCUAUGUCACCGGCCGACAAUUUCCUGACAAGGGAAUUGAUCUCAUUGACGAGGCUUGCACCAGCAGCCUAGAGGGGAGUGAGAUGAUUGUUGGUCCGGAUCACAUUGCACAGGUAGCCAUACUUCUUAAAAUUCAUAUAUAUGUCUAUUAUUUUAACAGAUAUAUGCAUGUUGUGAGCCGAUGGACAGGCAUUCCUAUAGCUACACUUGAUCAAGAUGAGAAGGUCAAGUUAGUCCAUUUAGCGCACAGAUUGCAUGAGCGAGUAGUUGGACAAUAUGAGGCUGUCAAUUUGGUUGCAGAUACGGUGUUGUGUUCUAGGGCCGGUCUUGAUCAUCCUGGUCAACCAAUAGGCUCCUUCCUAUUUGUGGGUCUGACUGGUGUUGGAAAGACAGAGCUUGCAAAAGCUCUCGCCGAGCAGCUAUUCGAUGAAGAGAAGAUGUUGAUUCGCUUUGACAUGUCUGAAUAUGUUAGCCCCGGAUCUGUCCUGCGUCUCGUUGGAGCACCACCAAGCUAUUUGGGCUACGAAGAAGGUGGGCAACUAACUGAGAAAGUUAGGAGACGGCCAUACAGUGUUAUCCUUUUUGAUGAGGUGGAAAAGGCGCAUCACUCGGUGUUGAAUGUUUUGCUCCAGCUGCUUGAUGAUGGCGUGGUGACCGAUGGUAAAGGUCGGAAUGUGGAUUUCAAGAACACGGUCAUCAUUAUGACAUCAAAUGUCGGAGCACAGCACAUAACACCGGGAAUAGCCGGAGAAAACACACUGCGAACCGCACGAGACCUUCUCAUGAAACAAGUUCGGAAAUACUUCAAGCCAGAACUCCUCAACAGACUAAGCGAGAUUGUGAUAUUCGAGCCGCUUUCCCACCACCAGCUGAAGGAAAUCGUGAAUAUCCAGAUGAAGGAGAUCAUUGUUAGAGUGGCCAGCAAGGGUAUAUCUCUAGUUUUGAAGGACGCCGCAUUGGAUGUGAUUUUGUCAGAGUCAUACAACCUAAUGUACGGUGCAAGGCCUAUAAAGAGGUGGGUCGAAAAGAAUAUAAUCACAAUUAUCUGCCAGAUGCUGGUGAACGGGGAAGCCGAUGAAGACUCGAUAAUCACCAUUGAUGCUGCCAUGGACAAGAAGGGGUUGAAGUACCAAGUGGCGAAAAAUGAAACCGCAGCCGACUUGGUUUGA
Molecule: ribosomal RNA, 2028 nt
Filed under: Triticum aestivum (bread wheat)
Lineage: Eukaryota; Viridiplantae; Streptophyta; Magnoliopsida; Poales; Poaceae
Description: partial small subunit ribosomal RNA
Source: RNAcentral